UACGUAGGGUGCAAGCGUUAAUCGGAAUUACUGGGCGUAAAGCGUGCGCAGGCGGCUUUGCAAGACAGAUGUGAAAUCCCCGGGCUCAACCUGGGAACUGCAUUUGUGACUGCAAGGCUGGAGUACGGCAGAGGGGGAUGGAAUUCCGCGUGUAGCAGUGAAAUGCGUAGAUAUGCGGAGGAACACCGAUGGCGAAGGCAAUCCCCUGGGCCUGUACUGACGCUCGUGCACGAAAGCGUGGGGAGCAAACAGG
Molecule: ribosomal RNA, 253 nt
Filed under: uncultured bacterium
Lineage: Bacteria
Description: partial 16S ribosomal RNA
Rfam family: Bacterial small subunit ribosomal RNA
Source: RNAcentral